RNAcentral lists this ribosomal RNA (252 nucleotides) under uncultured soil bacterium. RNAcentral describes it as "partial 16S ribosomal RNA". It matches the Rfam family "Bacterial small subunit ribosomal RNA", at positions 26 to 287 of the family's 1533-position model. The record is from RNAcentral.
AGGACGAACGCUGGCGGCGUGCUUAACACAUGCAAGUCAAGGGGGCCCAGCAAUGGGCAACCGGCGAACGGGUGCGUAACACGUGAGCAACCUACCGAACUGUGGGGGAUAGCCGGCCUAACGGCCGAGUAAUACCGCAUACGCUCUCAGGGAGGCAUCUCUUUGAGAGGAAACCUACGGGACAGAUCGAGGGGCUCGCGGCCUAUCAGCUAGUCGGCGAGGUAACGGCUCACCAAGGCAACGACGGGUAGC